CCUACGGGAGGCAGCAGUGAGGAAUAUUGGUCAAUGGGCGCGAGCCUGAACCAGCCAAGUCGCGUGAGGGAAGACGGUCCUCUGGAUUGUAAACCUCUUUUGUCGGGGAGAAAAAGACGCCACGCGUGGCGUUCCGAGAGUACCCGAAGAAAAAGCAUAGGCUCACUCCGUGCCAGCAGCCGCGGUAAUACGGAGGAUGCGAGCGUUAUCCGGAUUUAUUGGGUUUAAGGGGUGCGCAGGCGGAAGAUCAAGUCAGCGGUAAAAUUGAGAGGCUCAACCUCGUCGAGCCGUUGAAACUGGUUUUCUUGAGUGAGUGAGAAGUAUGCGGAAUGCGUGGUGUAGCGGUGAAAUGCAUAGAUAUCACGCAGAACUCCGAUAGCGAAGGCAGCAUACCGGCGCUCAACUGACGCUCAUGCACGAAAGUGUGGGUAGCGAACAGGAUUAGAUACCCGAGUAGUC
This 459-nucleotide ribosomal RNA is filed under the name uncultured bacterium. RNAcentral describes it as "partial 16S ribosomal RNA". It matches the Rfam family "Bacterial small subunit ribosomal RNA", at positions 338 to 795 of the family's 1533-position model. The record is from RNAcentral.